RNAcentral lists this ribosomal RNA (468 nucleotides) under uncultured bacterium. RNAcentral describes it as "partial 16S ribosomal RNA". It matches the Rfam family "Bacterial small subunit ribosomal RNA", at positions 28 to 507 of the family's 1533-position model. The record is from RNAcentral.
GACGAACGCUGGCGGCGUGCUUAACACAUGCAAGUCGAACGGAAAGGCCCUGCUUUUGUGGGUUGCUCGAGUGGCGAACGCGUGAGUAACACGUGAGUAACCUGCCCUUGACUUUGUGAUAACUUCAGGAAACUGGGGCUCAUACCGGAUAUGAUCUCCUGCUGCAUGGUGGUGGUUGGAAAGUUUCGGCGGUUGGGGAUGGACUCGCGGCUUAUCAGCUUGUUGGUGGGGUAGUUGCUUACCAAGGCUUUGACGGGUAGCCUGCCUGAGAGGGUGACCGGCCACAAGGGGACUGAGAGACGGCGCAGACGCCUACGGGAGGCAGCAGUGGGGAAUAUUGCAGAAUGGGCGGGAGCCAGAGGCAGAAACGCCGAGUGCGGGAUGACGGCCUUAGGGUUGUAAACAGAUUUCGCAGGUGACGAAGAGUGAGUGACGGUAAUGGGUAAAGAAGCACCGGCUAACUACGUG